AGAUUCUCACUGCCGUAGCUGCCGUCUGCCUUUAGCCUUUUCCCGAACGCCUCUCCUAUGAUUGGUUUUCCCUACACGGCCCGGGUGUUAGUAUGCUGCGCUCUCUCCCAUGUCACUAGUUUCAUAAAUAGAUUUUCCUAACGUCAUGCCAGAUAAUUGUAAUUGGUUCCCGUCGCUUCUGUUGAAUUCCUGAUAGGCUAGGAAGUUUGUUCCUCGAGGUAAUAUUGUGGUGAGCCUAUCCUACCUGGUUGCUUGUCCUAACCUUAGCAGCACCUACAUUAUUACCUCGACAUUCCCCUCCCACGGAUUCUGCCCUCGUUGGCAGCAUUGAAGGAACGUAGCCAUGAUAUAGCAGCUACCUGUCCAUCGUCCAGAGAGAGAGUCAGCCAGCCCGUUAUGAUACACACCAGUUCCCAUUGAUCACCCAGCUACCCAACUGAUUUAGGGUAACGGACUUUACCAUGAGAUUGAACACUUACUUUAUGUACGAUUGGAUUGGUCUUGCAUUAUUUUACAAUUUGUA
Molecule: long non-coding RNA, 523 nt
Organism: Bolinopsis microptera
Lineage: Eukaryota; Metazoa; Ctenophora; Tentaculata; Lobata; Bolinopsidae
Exons: 4
Source: RefSeq, a predicted model, not a curated record